RNAcentral lists this long non-coding RNA (222 nucleotides) under Macaca nemestrina (pig-tailed macaque). RNAcentral describes it as "lncRNA (ENSMNEG00000045880.1)". Lineage: Eukaryota; Metazoa; Chordata; Mammalia; Primates; Cercopithecidae. The record is from RNAcentral.
CACAAAAUGGAAUCCAGAGAGGAAUCUGGAGAGGAGUGAAAAAUGAUUAUACUUUUGAAUAAGGAUUGCAGAGUGAUAUUUAAGCUUGAAGGAGAGGAAGAGGACUUUUCUGGUAUGAGGAAGAGAGUCACGGUUCAGGUCGGAAAAUGGCAUGAGGAAAUAGAUUAUGAAAUGACUUCAGGAUCUAUUUUAAGUGUAUUAAAUGAGUGAACUGACUGGGCA